RNAcentral lists this ribosomal RNA (252 nucleotides) under uncultured bacterium. RNAcentral's name for it is "partial 16S ribosomal RNA". It matches the Rfam family "Bacterial small subunit ribosomal RNA", at positions 524 to 775 of the family's 1533-position model. The record is from RNAcentral.
UACGGAGGGUGCGAGCGUUGUCCGGAAUCACUGGGCGUAAAGGCGCGUAGGCGGCCUGAUAAGUAGGGGGUGAAAUCCUGCGGCUUAACCGCAGGGGCUGCCUUCUAAACUGUCAGGCUGGAGCACAGUAGAGGCAGGUGGAAUUCCCGGUGUAGCGGUGGAAUGCGUAGAGAUCGGGAAGAACACCAGUGGCGAAGGCGGCUCACUGGCCCGAUACUGACGCUGAGGCACGAAAGCGUGGGGAGCAAGCAG